RNAcentral lists this ribosomal RNA (253 nucleotides) under uncultured bacterium. Its description in RNAcentral is "partial 16S ribosomal RNA". It matches the Rfam family "Bacterial small subunit ribosomal RNA", at positions 524 to 776 of the family's 1533-position model. The record is from RNAcentral.
UACGGAGGGGGCUAGCGUUGUUCGGAAUUACUGGGCGUAAAGCGCACGUAGGCGGCUUUGCAAGUCAGAGGUGAAAGCCCGGAGCUUAACUCCGGAGGGUCGGUGGAUACUGCCAGUCUUGAAGGUGCUAGGGGGAGAUGGAAUUACCGGUGUAGCGGUGAAAUGCGUAGAUAUCGGUAGGAACACCAGUGGCGAAGGCGGUCUCCUGGGGCAUUCUUGACGCUGAGGCGCGAAAGCUGGGGGAGCAAACGGG